Molecule: ribosomal RNA, 253 nt
Filed under: uncultured bacterium
Lineage: Bacteria
Description: partial 16S ribosomal RNA
Rfam family: Bacterial small subunit ribosomal RNA
Source: RNAcentral
UACGAAGGGGGCUAGCGUUGUUCGGAAUUACUGGGCGUAAAGCGCGUGUAGGCGGGCCGUUAAGUCGGGGGUGAAAGCCCAGAGCUCAACUCUGGAACUGCCUUCGAUACUGGCGGCCUGGCGCAUGAUAGAGGCGAGUGGAAUUGCGCGUGUAAAGGUGAGAUUCGUAGAUAUUCGCAGGAACACCAGUGGAGAAGGAGACUCCCUGGUUCAUUGCUGACGCUGAGACGCGAAAGCGUGCGGAGCAAUUAGC